UGAGGAAUAUUGGUCAAUGGACGAGAGUCUGAACCAGCCAAGUAGCGUGCAGGAUGACGGCCCUAUGGGUUGUAAACUGCUUUUGUUUGGGAAUAAUCGACAGUACGUGUAAUGUUUUGCAUGUACCAUUCGAAUAAGGACCGGCUAAUUCCGUGCCAGCAGCCGCGGUAAUACGGAAGGUCCAGGCGUUAUCCGGAUUUAUUGGGUUUAAAGGGAGUGUAGGCGGUUGGUUAAGCGUGUUGUGAAAUGUAGAUGCUCAACAUCUGACUUGCAGCGCGAACUGGCUGACUUGAGUACACACAACGUAGGCGGAAUUCAUGGUGUAGCGGUGAAAUGCUUAGAUAUCAUGAAGAACUCCGAUUGCGAAGGCAGCUUACGGGAGUGUUACUGACGCUUAAGCUCGAAGGUGCGGGUAUCGAACAGG
This 424-nucleotide ribosomal RNA is filed under the name Verrucomicrobiota bacterium. RNAcentral's name for it is "Verrucomicrobia bacterium partial 16S ribosomal RNA". It matches the Rfam family "Bacterial small subunit ribosomal RNA", at positions 355 to 776 of the family's 1533-position model. The record is from RNAcentral. Lineage: Bacteria; Pseudomonadati; Verrucomicrobiota.